RNAcentral lists this ribosomal RNA (505 nucleotides) under uncultured bacterium. RNAcentral describes it as "bacterial SSU rRNA". It matches the Rfam family "Bacterial small subunit ribosomal RNA", at positions 19 to 518 of the family's 1533-position model. The record is from RNAcentral.
CUGGCUCAGGAUGAACGCUAGCGGCAGGCUUAACACAUGCAAGUCGAGGGGCAACGCGAGUAGCAUACUUGGUGGCGACCGGCGCAAGGGUGCGUAACGCGUGAGCAACAUGCCCGUAUCAGGGGGAUAAUCCAGGGAAACUUGGUCUAAUACCCCAUAGUAAUUUUGUAAGGCAUCUUAUAAGAUUUUAAAGCUUUGGUGGAUACGGAUUGGCUCGCGUGACAUUAGCUGGAUGGUAAGGUAACGGCUUACCAUGGCUAUGAUGUCUAGGGGUUCUGAGAGGAAGGUCCCCCACACUGGAACUGAGACACGGUCCAGACUCCUACGGGAGGCAGCAGUGAGGAAUAUUGGACAAUGGAUGGAAAUCUGAUCCAGCCAUGCCGCCGUGAAGGAAGAAGGUCCUAUGGAUUGUAAACUUCUUUUGUAUGGGAGCAAUAAGGCCUACGAGUAGGUUGAUGAGAGUACCAUACGAAUAAGCACCGGCUAACUCCGUGCCAGCCGCCGC